RNAcentral lists this transfer RNA (90 nucleotides) under Brevibacillus sp. WF146. It matches the Rfam family "tRNA". Rfam says of the family: Transfer RNA (tRNA) molecules are approximately 80 nucleotides in length. Lineage: Bacteria; Bacillati; Bacillota; Bacilli; Caryophanales; Paenibacillaceae. The record is from Rfam by way of RNAcentral. RNAcentral also lists the same sequence under 1 other name.
GGAUGGAUGUCCGAGAGGCCGAAGGAGCACGAUUGGAAAUCGUGUAGACGGGGAUAACUCGUCUCGUGGGUUCAAAUCCCACUCCAUCCG